CCUGCGCGUGGUGGCCGGGACGUGCUGUUAAACGUCUCGCGAGCGCGCCUGCCGCUUUGGACGGCGGAGGGGCAGGCGCGCAUGCGCGGCCUCAAAGCUGGGCGAGAGGAAGCCAGUACUUUCUUUUAUGCUGGCGCCAUUUUGUGCUCAGGACCUCUACAGCCGCCGCCGCAGCCGACGGCGGAGAUGGGCAGGCAAGGAAGGCGAAGGCUGUGGCAGCGCGAGCGACUCGGGCCCUGGCUCGGCCACUCUGGGCUCAGGCGCUUCGAACACCGGGACGCGGCGGCUCAGCGACCUGUGGGCGGAGCCGAAGCAGCGGAACCUGGACACUGGCGACAACAAAAGGGUCCAGAUGGAGGAGCUCAAGUCACCAGGCCACACCAUGUAGUCAAUGAUGUGAGUGAGGCAAGGAUACGGAGGAGGAGGAGAUACGGAGAUAACGGAGGAUCUGAAGGCACAGCCCCAGGACCUGCAGGCCUGUGUGGGUUCGCAGAUCUACAAACAGCAGCCCUGGAAACACAGCAGUGUGUUAGAGCAAGUACUCAGGGAAACAGACCAGCCCUGACUGGACUCCCGCAAUGAGCAUCAACUGAUUGGAGAGAGGAAACCUUUACCUACUGUCAGUGAAGGGCUGCUGACCAAAUUGAAAAUAAGAAUGGGGAAAUAAGAAUGGGUCCUGUUGGGGAGUCAACCUCUGAUACGGUACCCAGACUUCCACAGCUACAGAAAUCUUGAAGGAUGUCAAAUAAAGAACGGGGUCUUCUUCA
Molecule: long non-coding RNA, 767 nt
Organism: Microcebus murinus (gray mouse lemur)
Lineage: Eukaryota; Metazoa; Chordata; Mammalia; Primates; Cheirogaleidae
Source: RefSeq, a predicted model, not a curated record